UACGUAGGGGGCAAGCGUUGUCCGGAUUUAUUGGGCUUAAAGGGUGCGUAGGCGGCCUUGUAAGUCAGUGGUGAAAUAUCUCAGCUUAACUGAGAGGGUGCCAAUGAUACUGCAGGGCUUGAGUACAGAUGAGGUAGGCGGAAUUGACGGUGUAGCGGUGAAAUGCUUAGAUAUCGUCAAGAACACCUAUAGCGAAGGCAGCUUACUAAGCUGUAACUGACGCUGAGGCACGAAAGUGUGGGGAUCAAACAGG
This 253-nucleotide ribosomal RNA is filed under the name uncultured bacterium. RNAcentral describes it as "partial 16S ribosomal RNA". It matches the Rfam family "Bacterial small subunit ribosomal RNA", at positions 524 to 776 of the family's 1533-position model. The record is from RNAcentral.